AACGAACGCUGGCGGCAGGCCUAACACAUGCAAGUCGAGCGAGCAUUUCGGUGCUAGCGGCGGACGGGUGAGUAACGCGUGGGAACGUGCCCUUUUCUGCGGAAUAGUCCUGGGAAACUGGGGGUAAUACCGCAUACGCCCUUUUGGGGAAAGAUUUAUCGGAGAAGGAUCGGCCCUCGUUGGAUUAGGUAGUUGGUGGGGUAAUGGCCCACCAAGCCGACGAUCCAUAGCUGGUUUGAGAGGAUGAUCAGCCACACUGGGACUGAGACACGGCCCAGACUCCUACGGGAGGCAGCAGUGGGGAAUCUUAGACAAUGGGGGCAACCCUGAUCUAGCCAUGCCGCGUGAGUGAUGAAGGCCUUAGGGUUGUAAAGCUCUUUCAGCUGGGAAGAUAAUGACGGUACCAGCAGAAGAAGCCCCGGCUAACUCCGUG
RNAcentral lists this ribosomal RNA (433 nucleotides) under uncultured bacterium. Its description in RNAcentral is "partial 16S ribosomal RNA". It matches the Rfam family "Bacterial small subunit ribosomal RNA", at positions 29 to 507 of the family's 1533-position model. The record is from RNAcentral.